CAUCUUUUCCUUCCUUGCCACAGGACAUGAUGUUAACCUCGAGCUGGAGGUGAAUCAGCAGAAACCUGGAGGAGACGAAUACAGGACGAGGGAGAGUAUGAUCAUUUGAAAGCAACAGGGAAGAGGUCAGAGUGGAUGGAUCUGCAUCAAAAAUGUCCCAUUGGACUUUGUUGCAACGAUGUCGCAGCAUUCCCAGAUUUCAGCAUUCAUUUGCCAUCUGCUUCCCUGGCACCCUUGCCUGCAUGACAUUCACCUGGAGGAACAGAAAAAAAGAGGACAACAAAGAAAAACACAGAGAGAGCAUGCAACUAAGGCAGAUACAAGUCUUUAACUGCCAGUGCUGCCAUGGUGCCAUUCACUCAACUACUGUAACUCGACAGAGGACUGAAAGUGAAAGACUGAAAAAAACCACAAGAAUCAGAGAGAAGGAGAGUGCGCUGGCAGCUUCUCUCUGCCUCUGCUGCCAUGGCAGAGUCAAACAGACUCAGCUCGAAAUUGUAACCCUAACAGGGGGUACAGGGAGGGCAGAGAGGGAUGGGAGUAAUGGAAGGGAGAGGCUCUAUCAGGGAGGAAAAUAGUGUCUGUAUUCCCCAGUACAUCACUGUUGUUGAGAAGCUCGGGCCUUGCCAGUAAAGUGAAGAAACAGCAGUGGCAGCUGCACCCAGUUCAGUGCCUGCUGACAGAGAGGAGGCUUUUGUUUGCAGCACAGGCAGCACAGUGAACAGCAUAGGGUGGCAUGGUCUGGAAUGUAACAUUAUUGUUUUGUUUUUUAAAUGGGGCACACUGAGGAGGCAAUUCAGAAAGACAUUUUGUUUGAAUGUAUGUGUGUGUGCACAUACUAUAAUGCAUGUGUGCCAGUUAUAGCCAGUACUGACCUAUAGGCAAGGCUCGUAGUUUUAAGUCUGAUUUUUUUUUUGCCUACAAAUACCUGUACCUUGUGGCAUCAGGGAAAUGUAAGUUACAUUGUGUACAGUGUAAAGUCAACACAAACUUCUUGCAGAGAAUGUGCAAAAUUCAGAUAAAAUAAGAGAAAGGGUCAAUACUAACUAAGAAAUUAAGAGUCCUACAAUGGAAUGUUUAAUUAAAAAAAGAGAAAGUUAUGUAUGCGAUCAUGUGUGCACUAGCUAACAUAUGAUGCAAUGCAUGUUUACUUAUGUUACCUCAUUAAUAAAUUGACAAUUAUUUAUCGAUUGCUUCUGUUGUACUUCGAUGUUUUUUUUUACUAAAGUA
Molecule: long non-coding RNA, 1230 nt
Organism: Siniperca chuatsi (mandarin fish)
Lineage: Eukaryota; Metazoa; Chordata; Actinopteri; Centrarchiformes; Sinipercidae
Exons: 3
Source: RefSeq, a predicted model, not a curated record